GCGCACUUAGCUCAGUGGUUAGAGCACCCUCCUAGAUAUAGGGAUCAGGUCGUCGGUUCAAGUCCUGCAGUGCACA
Molecule: transfer RNA, 76 nt
Organism: Melampsora larici-populina 98AG31
Lineage: Eukaryota; Fungi; Basidiomycota; Pucciniomycetes; Pucciniales; Melampsoraceae
Rfam family: tRNA
About the family: Transfer RNA (tRNA) molecules are approximately 80 nucleotides in length. Their secondary structure includes four short double-helical elements and three loops (D, anti-codon, and T loops). Further hydrogen bonds mediate the characteristic L-shaped molecular structure. tRNAs have two regions of fundamental functional importance: the anti-codon, which is responsible for specific mRNA codon recognition, and the 3' end, to which the tRNAs corresponding amino acid is attached (by aminoacyl-tRNA synthetases). tRNAs cope with the degeneracy of the genetic code in two manners: having more than one tRNA (with a specific anti-codon) for a particular amino acid; and 'wobble' base-pairing, i.e. permitting non-standard base-pairing at the 3rd anti-codon position.
Source: Rfam